AGCUGUGAGGCCCGAGUUUUUGACUUGCACCUUUGGCAGGUCAUUGAAAUCAGAACCCUGUCAACUCUGAAGCGGCUGCUACAUCAAUUUCUAUAACUCACAGAAUUCCCUACUUCAAUUGCACAUGCAUGCUUGAUGGAUAUGAGGAUAUCUUGUACGAGUUAACGAAUUCUAGCAUUAAGUCGUACUUCCUGAAGACGUAGUUGAUUAUGAAACUCAGACACUGUAACCUUAGACCAGAUCAGAAGCAACAUUUGUACAUGCCCCGUUCUGAAUAUGCAGAGAAGAUGAUUGCUGCAAUUGAUGAAGUACGAGUUGAUAGAAAUUAGAUUGGUGGGACGGUCACAUGUAUUGCGAGAAAUGUUCCUCGUGCUCGGGAAUGAUAUACAAUUAUGUUGGGUACUUGCUGUGGGAUUUUUCACCUUUCGUAUACCUGUGUUAGGUAAGUCUUGGAGCGAGUAGUGGAUGGCGUGGAUGGUUCUGGCUGAUGGCGUGGAUGGCCACGACAGAGUCGACGGUGGAGGCGGCCGCUAGCUCAGGGUGUCACGUCCAUGGUCAUCCUGUCUGCUGUUUGCAGCACGGAUGUCGUAGAUGGCGUGUAGGCCAACCUUGACCAGCAACGUAGGUGCAGGUCAUUUCCCCAUAAUGGCAACAGUGGCGAUGGAGAGGUACAGUCGCCGCCGUGGACUGCUGCAGAUGGCUCUUUGCCUUGGGAUGGUGAUGCUGCUUCCCCUGUGGGACGGGGUGGCUUUGCCUUGGCGCUACCAUUGUCGUUGAGGAUGCAGGACAUGGUGGUGGUUCCACUGGAUCCAGCACGGUUGCAGGGGAUUGAGCGGCAGUGCUCUGUGUCGUUGGUACAUCAAUAAAGAUCUACCAGAAAUAACUGAGAUACUUACACAUAAGUACUCCUGGUGC
This is a non-coding RNA of Lolium perenne, 915 nucleotides long. The record is from RefSeq and is a predicted model, not a curated record. Lineage: Eukaryota; Viridiplantae; Streptophyta; Magnoliopsida; Poales; Poaceae.